RNAcentral lists this non-coding RNA (24 nucleotides) under Arabidopsis thaliana (thale cress). Lineage: Eukaryota; Viridiplantae; Streptophyta; Magnoliopsida; Brassicales; Brassicaceae. The record is from RNAcentral.
AUGCAUUAGUUUGACAAGUUGUGU